CGGCGUGCUUAACACAUGCAAGUCGAACGGAGGCAGGGAGCUUGCUCCUUGCUUUAGUGGCGCACGGGUGAGUAAUGCGUAGAUAAUCUACCUGAGGGUCCGGAAUAACAUCUCGAAAGGGGUGCUAAUACCGGAUAAGCCCACGGAGUCUUCGGACUUUGCGGGAAAAGGGGGGGACCUUCGGGCCUUCUGUCCUCAGAUGAGUCUACGUACCAUUAGCUAGUUGGUGGGGUAAAGGCCUACCAAGGCGACGAUGGUUAGCUGGUCUGAGAGGAUGAUCAGCCACACUGGAACUGAGACACGGUCCAAACUCCUACGGGAGGCAGCAGUGGGGAAUUUUGCGCAAUGGGGGAAACCCUGACGCAGCAACGCCGCGUGAGUGAUGAAGGCCUUCGGGUCGUAAAGCUCUGUCAGAGGGAAAGAAAUGUACGAGGGUUAAUACCCCUUGUACUUGACGGUACCCUCAAAGGAAGCACCGGCUAACUCCGUGCCAGCAGCCGCGGUAAUACGGAGGGUGCGAGCGUUGUUCGGAUUUAUUGGGCGUAAAGCGCGUGUAGGCGGCUUCUUAAGUCUGAUGUGAAAGCCCUGGGCUCAACCCGGGAAGUGCAUUGGAAACUGGGAAACUUGAAUACGGGAGAGGGUAGUGGAAUUCCUGGUGUAGGAGUGAAAUCCGUAGAUAUCAGGAGGAACACCGGUGGCGAAGGCGGCUACCUGGACCGUUAUUGACGCUGAGACGCGAAAGCGUGGGGAGCAAACAGGAUUAGAUACCCCGGUAGUCCACGCCGUAAACGAUGAGUACUAGGUGUUGCGGGUAUUGACCCCUGCAGUGCCGCAGCUAACGCAUUAAGUACUCCGCCUGGGAAGU
RNAcentral lists this ribosomal RNA (865 nucleotides) under uncultured bacterium. Its description in RNAcentral is "bacterial SSU rRNA". It matches the Rfam family "Bacterial small subunit ribosomal RNA", at positions 40 to 881 of the family's 1533-position model. The record is from RNAcentral.